AUUGAACGCUGGCGGCAGGCCUAACACAUGCAAGUCGAGCGGAGCGGCGGACGGGGGCGUAAUGCCUAGGAAUCUGCAUGGUAGUGGGGGAGAACGUCCGGAAACGGGCACUAAUACUGAAUACUAGCAGAAGAGCCUAGGUCGGAUUGGCUAGUUGGUGGGGUAAAGGCCUACCAAGGCGACGAUCCGUAACUGGUCUGAGAGGAUGAGCAGGCACACUGGAACUGAGACACGGUCCAGACUCCUACGGGAGGCAGCAGUGGGGAAUAUUGGACAAUGGGCGAAAGCCUGAUCCAGCCAUGCCGCGUGUGUGAAGAAGGUCUUCGGAUUGUAAAGCACUUUAAGCGGGGAGGCGUUACCAACAGAAUAAGCACCGGCUAACUUCGUGCCAGCAGCCGCGGUAAUAC
Molecule: ribosomal RNA, 407 nt
Filed under: uncultured bacterium
Lineage: Bacteria
Description: partial 16S ribosomal RNA
Rfam family: Bacterial small subunit ribosomal RNA
Source: RNAcentral